GUGCUCGCUUCGGCAGCACAUAUACUAAAAAAUUGGAACGAUACAGAGAAGAUUAGCAUAGACCCUGCGCAAGGAUGACACGCAAAUUCGUGAAGCGCUCCAGGUUUAA
Molecule: small nuclear RNA, 109 nt
Filed under: Castor canadensis (American beaver)
Lineage: Eukaryota; Metazoa; Chordata; Mammalia; Rodentia; Castoridae
Source: RNAcentral